GAUUCAUGGCUCAGGACGAACGCUGGCGGCGUGCCUAAUACAUGCAAGUAGAACGCUGAAGGAGGAGCUUGCUUCUCUGGAUGAGUUGCGAACGGGUGAGUAACGCGUAGGUAACCUGCCUGGUAGCGGGGGAUAACUAUUGGAAACGAUAGCUAAUACCGCAUAAGAGUAGAUGUUGCAUGACAUUUGCUUAAAAGGUGCAAUUGCAUCACUACCAGAUGG
This 222-nucleotide ribosomal RNA is filed under the name uncultured bacterium. Its description in RNAcentral is "partial 16S ribosomal RNA". It matches the Rfam family "Bacterial small subunit ribosomal RNA", at positions 15 to 228 of the family's 1533-position model. The record is from RNAcentral.